AAACUCAGAGCAGCAGCAGACAGCAACAUUUAGGUUCCAAUGCACAGAGAUCACGGAGUGCCUGUAGGAAUAUCACCGUCGUUUGGAGAGAGAAUUUGGAAAUAGAGUCUCAGUAAACUAACAACACAAGUUCUCGGCGACAGAGGGAAGAAGCACACGAUGACAGGAGCUUGUAUCUCCGGUUUGUAGCAUUGCGCUUGAAACAAAUUCAGAAGCAAAUACCGAUUCAAGCCUUUGCUCAGUAGCAGGCUGGGACUGAGAGAGAAUGGCCUGACACGAUUAAAAUCAACAACUGAACCCAUGCCGUGUGCUUCAGAAUCGAGACUCCACUGGGUUCGACUCUUAAUGUCAGCAGGAGAUGGUUUUCAAUCAGAAUUUAUGAAAUGGCUUCACCGACCUGGAAGACCAGACAGGGCCUAUGUAUUUUUCAUUCGUUUAGGCCUAGUAUUCAGCUGCACAGCACCGCAUAUCAGGACAACCUGACAGAGCUACAAAAUAAGGAAUGGACAUUUUACGGACUGAAGGGAAGACCUUAACGAUCAAUUAGACAGGCAAAACCAGAGAUGUACUCUGGCGAAAAAACAGUAUUCCAAACUGGAAGCAGUCUGGUUAAAACCUUCACAUUGAAGGAGAUUGUCAGUUUAUUUAAAGAAUAUUUCUGAUCUUUUCCUGUAUGAUAAUCAUAUGGGAGCCGUGUAUUACAACAUUUGUACAAUACUGAAUAGUGUCUCUGUAUAUUCACAGUGAAUGUCUACAGUAGUUGAAAUAGCGACAAAAAGUGCGUAGGAGAAAUUUCUCCAUUUCGAUUCUUGUUUAAAGUGCGUUAGAGAUUGAAAGGAAUCUGUCUCAGAACGUACAAGUUUGUAUUUUGAUAGAAAAGGGAUUCCCAGUAAACUGGGUAACGUAUUUUGCAAUGUGAGAACAAUCAGACCUGGUACUCCAGGUACUUUAAACAAAAAUGUCCUCAUGAUCAGCUUUAUAAAUUGGUCAGAGGUGUUUUGCUUUCUCUUACCAUUUAUGAGAGCCGAUUUUCAAGUUUAGUUCUAUGUAACACCCGUGAUUACAUGGCGAUGGUUAUAAAGGGUUAACAGAAACCCUCUAAGAAUUGUAGUUGGAUUUCUUCAUGUUGAAGAAUUGGGUAGUUUAAUAGAAGUAUUAAGCGUUCACUUACCUGUGCUUUGUCAUAUACAUGCCCCAUGAUUUAACAAUAGUUGUUGAGUUUCUCAAUGCUAUAUCAACAUGAUCUCAAUUAAAUGUCCAGUUUCUGGAAUAACACCCAUGAGUUUGGUAGAAGAGCUUUCUCCCUCUUACGUUGUGUCAUUGAUGGAAAGUUGAUCUGUCUUCUUGUUGAAGAUUAUUUGUACUUUUGUGAAAGGCUUAAUAAAUAACGAUUCUGUAAAUAAACUGCUUCUGGAGUGCACAGCGGACCACGCCAGGAAGGAAAUAAACAAUGAAGAAGGUAUUGACAUUAAAGAUAGUGGUUCUAGCUC
Long non-coding RNA from Stegostoma tigrinum, 1490 nucleotides. RefSeq lists it as uncharacterized. The record is from RefSeq and is a predicted model, not a curated record. Lineage: Eukaryota; Metazoa; Chordata; Chondrichthyes; Orectolobiformes; Stegostomatidae. The transcript is spliced from 3 exons.